This 499-nucleotide ribosomal RNA is filed under the name uncultured bacterium. RNAcentral describes it as "partial 16S ribosomal RNA". It matches the Rfam family "Bacterial small subunit ribosomal RNA", at positions 28 to 507 of the family's 1533-position model. The record is from RNAcentral.
GACGAACGCUGGCGGCGUGCCUAAUACAUGCAAGUCGAGCGAAGUUUUUCUGGUGCUUGCACUAGAAAAACUUAGCGGCGCACGGGUGAGUCACACGUAAAGAACCUGCCUCAUAGACUGGGACAACUAUUGGAAACGAUAGCUAAUACCGGAUAACAGUAUUUCUCGCAUGAGAGAUAUUUAAAAGUUUGUUAUGCUAACACUAUGAGAUGGCUUUGCGGUGCAUUAGCUAGUUGGUGGGGUAAAGGCCCACCAAGGCGACGAUGCAUAGCCGACCUGAGAGGGUGAUCGGCCACACUGGGACUGAGACACGGCCCAGACUCCUACGGGAGGCAGCAGUAGGGAAUCUUCCGCAAUGGGCGAAAGCCUGACGGAGCAACGCCGCGUGAGUGAAGAAGGAUUUCGGCUCGUAAAGCUCUGUUGUUAGGGAAGAAUGGAUAUGUAGUAACUAUACAUGUAAGAGACGGUACCUAACCAGAAAGCCACGGCUAACUACGUG